ACGGCUCAGUAACACGUAGUCAAUCUACCCUAUGGACGGGAAUAACCUCGGGAAACUGAGAAUAAUGCCCGAUAGAACAUUAUGCCUGGAAUGGUUUAUGUUUCAAAUGAUUUAUCGCCAUAGGAUGGGACUGCGGCCUAUCAGUUUGUUGGUGAGGUAAUGGCCCACCAAGACUAUUACAGGUACGGGCUCUGAGAGGAGUAGCCCGGAGAUGGGUACUGAGACACGGACCCAGGCCCUAUGGGGCGCAGCAGGCGAGAAAACUUUGCAAUGUGCGGAAGCACGACAAGGUUAAUCCGAGUGGUUUCUGCUAAAGAAACCUUUUGUCAGUCCUAGAAACACUAACGAAUAAGGGGUGGGCAAGUUCUGGUGUCAGCCGCCGCGGUAAAACCAGCACCUCAAGUGGUCAGGAUGAUUAUUGGGCCUAAAGCAUCCGUAGCCCGUUUUGUAAGUUUUCGGUUAAAUCCAUGCGCUUAACGUAUGGGCUGCCGGGAAUACUGCAUAACUAGGAAGUGGGAGAGGUAGACGGUACUCGGUAGGAAGGGGUAAAAUCCUUUGAUCUAUUGAUGACCACCUGUGGCGAAGGCGGUCUACCAGAACACGUUCGACGGUGAGGGAUGAAAGCUGGGGGAGCAAACCGGAUUAGAUACCCGUGUAGUCCCAGCUGUAAACUAUGCAAACUCAGUGAUGCAUUGGCUUAUGGCCAAUGCAGUGCUGCAGGGAAGCCGUUAAGUUUGCCGCCUGGGAAGUACGUACGCAAGUAUGAAACUUAAAGGAAUUGGCGGGGGAGCAC
RNAcentral lists this ribosomal RNA (793 nucleotides) under uncultured archaeon. Its description in RNAcentral is "bacterial SSU rRNA". It matches the Rfam family "Archaeal small subunit ribosomal RNA", at positions 85 to 879 of the family's 1478-position model. The record is from RNAcentral.